RNAcentral lists this long non-coding RNA (9669 nucleotides) under Taeniopygia guttata (zebra finch). RNAcentral describes it as "lncRNA (ENSTGUG00000021353.1)". Lineage: Eukaryota; Metazoa; Chordata; Aves; Passeriformes; Estrildidae. The record is from RNAcentral.
GUUGUGUUCCAGUUUUGUGAGCUUGCAGGUUUCUUCCCCUGCCAUGGAAGACGAAAAUGAUGAUUGGAACUUGUGGUGUUAAAAAUGCCUGCCUGAUUAAAACCUUAAAUAGGUCUUUAAAGAUGAGGCCCUAGUGUCAUGUGACUCUUUAGGUGAGCCAAACUGCACUUUGGUAUGGGGAGUCUCGAGAAACAGUGUGCGCAGGCAGCAUUAGCCCCAGAGGCUGGCAAGGCGGCUGAAUGGAUGCAGACGAGCUGCUCUCCCCAAGCGGGCGGGCUCUGCCAACACCUGUGAAGUGAAAACCCGUCUGCGCCGCAGAUCUUCUGUGUUGUACUGGACCCAGCCCUUUCCAGCUGAGCUGUGGUGACCCUAAACACUGUCCUGAGAUAUGUUUUGGGGCUGCUGUCUGGGCUCUGGUGCUACUUGCAGCUGCUCUUGAAUAUCUUCAACUGAUCAUCAGCUGGAAUAGCUGAAGUGAAACAAACUUCCCAUGAUCCACCUACCUUGAAGAACAGAAUCACUCUGGUAGGAGUAAAUUAUUGUGAGUGAGAAAAGCCUGACUGCUGGCUGCCUUUCUUGCCUUCCAAAUCUUAGAGCAGUGAGAAAUGGAGACAUGGUUUGGGUCAGCAUCCAGGUACAGAGCACGCUUCACCUGCCAUGAACUGGGGAUGGGGAAGCAAAGGGAAGAGUGCUGCUCUCAGAAGGCUUCCUGGUAGGGAGAAUCCUCAGUAGCAGAGCUGCUCCGAGCUGCUGGGGCAUGCAGAGGAGCUGCAGAUGGGGCCGAGAGUCCAGCUUGAUACUUCUCUGGUCAGCCACCAGUUACAGCAUUAUCAAAUGCUCACUAGAGGUGGGUACCAAGGUGCUACAAGGGCUGAAGGCAAAUCAGGGGGUCUGCUUUUAAUGAAAAGAUAGUUUUACACACAGCAUCUUUCUUACUAUAAUGACAAAAUGGGUAUGAAACAGUUACACUCCAGACCCUUACUUUUUUUUUAGUGCUAUUUAUUUUUUUCACAACAUUUAAAACAAAACAAGCAAAAAAGGAAGGGAACAAAAAACGAAAAAGAAAACUCCCUUCAGACAACAAUCACCUUUUGAGUUAAAUUCUCAUGCUUGGUCUUAGCCCAGAGGGAUUUGUCUUGAGUGAAGUUCGAAGAAAAUCCUUUCAGCAGUUUCUGAGUUACUUAAAUGUAACCAUGGAAGUUUGGAUUCAGAUGCUUUUUUUUUUUACUUAUAUAACUCAAAAAUAGCUUUGCUUUAAAACUUUUAAAUUAACCCUCCUUAACUUUUCAACUUGUCACCUAUCCUACUGUAUGGCUUAUAAAAUUUUAAAGCUAAUAGUAUAACAAACUCAAAUAAUGAUACUGCAGAUGUUCAAAUGAAUCUUGGGAGAAAUAAAUUAUAGGAGGUACAGUGGGUUGUUACUGAAGAAAGAGCGGCUGCAUGCCUUAAACCAUGUGUUCUUUCUGGUCUGAAAAAGGCUCAGUUUUUUUCUACUAUUAAGAAGCAUAAGUGUUCUGGGUGUGGAUUUUAAUACUUCGCUACACAUAUAAAAUUAAGCAUGUAAGUCCUGUUCCUUUUUUUCCUCCUGAUAGCCCAAUGUCAAAAUAUUUUCUUAAAUUUUCCUGCUCUCUUUUUAACACAAUCCCAAUCAACAGGACACUUAAAGUCUCCUAAAUAUUUAUGGAGUUCAAAGUCACUGCAAUGCUCUGCGAUGCUCUUACUAUUAUUAUUUUAUUGCCAGCAGAUUGAGGCAAUGAGAGGUGAAGUGUCUUGGUAAGUAACGUUUUUUUUCCAUUUUCUUUGUCCAAUCUUCCUGUUGCUCUCUGAUGUUUCUUCCUGUUUGUCUUCUUUCCAACAUUUCUGCCUCACUUACUAGUCCCUUUCUCACUGUCUCCUAUCUAUCUUUCAACCAUCUUUCUCCAUUUAUUCUUCUCCAACAAUUGCACUGAAAAGAGACCACGGUAGAAAUUAUUUUUACUUUGGCAGCCACUUUUUAUUUUUAUCUUUUCCCUGAAUAUCUGGGAUGGGUCCAGGCAGCUCUCCCCACUUUCAUCAUCUCUCUUCACAUCCCUUGUGACCCUGAGCUCUAGUCAGCAAUCUGAUGUCUGCCAUGAGAGCACCUCCCAUUAUCCAAAGCCACAAUCAGACUAAGGUGUUGUAACACUGUGUGUUGCUUUACUUACCACACUUGCUCUGCCGCUUUCUAGGAACUGCACACCUGUGCCAGGUUUUUCUCACAGAAUAAUAAUGACAGCACUGUCGCCUUUUGCACGUCUCUCCUCCUUGCUCCUGUGCCCAUCUUCCUCUCCUGAGCUUUGUGGUUUGGUCUCCUGGUGCAGUGCAGCCAGGAUAUGGGAGACUUGUAUUUAGGCUGUGCCUGAGGCAGUUUGAACUUGAAUCUCUUGCCCCUUGAAUUUGCACCCUGCCCAAGAGAUUAUCAACUCUUCUGUGAGGAGCGUGACCUGAGCCCUUUAAGUGGGAAAGCUUGAGCUUGACUUUUCAGUCUUGAAGUGGAGACACUCACCUGCCUGGGGAAACCACGUCUGCCAGGGCCUGCCCCAGUCAAUAUUUAAAUGCAAGUAUGGAGGUAUUCCCUGGAAGACAGUAGCAAACCCCAGGUUUCUUGCUGUCAGUAGUGCUUUGAGAACAACCACACAGAACAAUCAAUUUAAUCCAUUUAAUUAUUCCAUAUGAGCUGGAACAGCUCCAACAGGAUGGACUGGAGAAAGACUCUGCUCAACAAGAUCCUUUUGGAGCUGUGCUGAGCUCACUUGGCUGCCAUGGGUCAGUUCCCUCAUACCCCAGAGCAGCCAUGGAGCUGCCUCAGCACCACUGAUUUGACAUAGUGAGGACGUGUGGAGACUGGAGGGGAGGGAAGUGUGCUCCUCCACUCUGUUAUCCACGGUGGCAGGUUUGUAGCUGUAGCUGAAACACACACCUGCCAGUGCUGCCUCAGUUACUGCUCUGGACAGGCAUGGCAGCAAAUAUGUGGUGGAGGGAAAAGAAUUCUAUUAAAAGACAGGGCAGCACACUGGAGCAUUACAAGACAAAUUGCUUUUAAAGGUGGAAAUACAAUAAAAAUAGACUAAAGAGUCUUAAAAUACAAAAUCAAUGCCAAAACAGAGAAAGCCAGAAUGACUUCCAGAACUCAGCUAUAGGCAGUUGUCCCCCAGUAUAAGCCAGAUACUGUCAGUGUGUGGGAGACAUCCAGGAAUUUUCUUUCCUACAAAAAUAUUAGGAACAUUAUAUGUUUUAACUGUAAUGGAAAACUAGAGCUCUAGUGCUCAGUUCCAAAGAAGAACUCUAACCAUUAGAAGUGAUGUGGUACAGGGUGUGUGUGUGUGUGUGUGUGUGGCUGCUCCUUUUCUCCUCGAGAUUCUAUAGCUUCCUUCAUUCUUCGCUUCUCUCAUAUUACAGAAAGAAGGUAAUUUUUCCUGGCCAUUUACUAAAGCUCAUUAAAGACUGAAGAGAACAAACAAUGCUAUUCCUUAGAGACUACCAUUCAAAGUCAUUCUACAAUUCUCUGUUCUAAUACUUGAGACAAAUUAAUUAUUCCUUAGUGAAAAGUGUAUAAUUCCUAUUCUUCAUUUUUGGGGUGGGGAGUGGGGAAUAAUAAUAGGAAGUUUAUAUCUGAGUCAAAAGCUGUCUGAGCUGAAGGGAAAUGAGAAAAAAUGUGUGUUCCAAGAAGAGUAAAAGCAAUUACUCUAAUAAUAAUUCUAGGGAUAUUAAUGUCUUUUUAAAGUAAAUUGCUUUCAAAUAAACACCAAAGUUGAAGGCAUAGGAAAGGCUGGUUUAUUUAUUAAUCAUUCCAAACGUGCAUUUUUCUAAAUGAACAAGUGCAUGAGCAACUUCGCUGGCACAUAUUAAAUUUAGUUAAACGGCAACUUGUAAAUAUCUAAAAACUUCUGUAACCAGAGACUAAUUUGUUUAACGUGUUGAAAAUGUUCUGUGGAUGUGAGGAGCUACAUAUUAAACUUCAAAGCAAAAUGCUCCAGAGAUUACACCAUCUUAAAGACUGCAUAUUGGAAAGGCCUUUAUACAUUAAACAUAAAGGACUUUUAAUUCUCUUCUAUUUUGAAUACUUGUCAAUCUGUGUGACUCACGCUUAAGAUUGUAAACUAUCAUUUUAAGGUGUAAGGUCCAAGUUGAGACCUGGACCAUGAUUUGCAAGGGGCUGGCUUUUCUCUUUCAUCUCUAUUAAUUAAUCCUGUUUCAGUUUGCCCAGCGUACACUUCUGUUGACAUCACCUUUUCCAUAUACUUUAAAGAGUCCCCAGAGAGAUCUACUGCAGAACAAAAACUGGACAGAGAAUACAUUUGGAAACCAUUUUAUUUCUCAAUUACCAACCAAAACGUAUGGAAAAGAUUUACACUCUAUCUGAUUUACACAAUAAUUAUACUUUGAAAGCUUAGAAAUAAAUGGCUUGAUCCCUGAAAUCAUUAGUUACUAUACCAAAUGUAAUUGGUGUAAACUAAUGAGUUUACUGGAUGGCUGACCCUUAAUUACUGAUUAUAGUUAAACUCUAGCCAAUCAAAAUUUCGUUUACUUAUAAAAGUACAGUGUACUAUUAACAAGCAUUACAUUUCCAAGCAAGCAGCUUUAUGAUUAGUUGUAGCACACAACUCAAGCCUGUUCAGGGCUAUCAAAAGCAGCUUUUUAAUAACAGUGCACUAAGCAACCAUCAUUCUCUUACCUCAGCUUCUAUCAGACAACAGAAAGAAACCACAUAAUUAAUCAUCUCAUGCAAUAGAAAUAAAGCAUCUGGGCCAUAUCCAGGUGGGAUAUACCCAGCCUUUUUAGUUCAAAGAGCUGCAAGAGGCUGGGGAUCUGCCUUAGGAUAGGAUAACUGACAUGGGGAAUUCUGGCUCUCUUGGGGGAGCAGUAUGGAGUAUGGAAAUGAAAUACUGAUUGAUUGAGUGCAGUCCCAUGUGAUGUGGAGAAACCUAUCAACAAAAUAGAUUUAAUAAUUCCUUAAAUUGCAGAAGAUUUCUUGGGCAGAUUCAGUAUGUCGUGAUGGGACAUAUGAUUCCUGUACUGGCAAUCCCAAAAAUCUAGAAGUCAUGAUUCCUCACUAUUUAUUAGUUCAAAUGGAGAAUGUUUUGGUUUUUUUUUUUUUUUUUAAUAAAAUGCUAAAUGGGAACAAAUUAUUUUUAUUUGUCUCUGCUUGAUCUUUAAGAACUAAUGUUUUGCCUAACCAGGAAGACUCAAAAUUCCUAGUAAAAAAGUUGAAAGCAGAUUUCUAUAUAGACCACGAUUCCAGAGUUGGAACUUAAAAGAGGUACACUAAAUAUUUUAAUAAAAUCAUGAGCCUUUACAAUGCGUACAGUCACAUCCUUAAAGAUACUUAGGUAAAUGACUCCAGUGAUUUAAAGAUGUGGAAAUUCUCCAUCUCCUAGAUCAUUCCUGUGAAUCCUAAACUUCAGAUAGGAGAUGGAUACCAGAAGUCACAAGCAGAAUAUCAGGUGCUAUGGAGGUUUUAGUUGGAAGAAUAUGUAUUUGCUGGAGCUCUGCACUCUGUGCUCUGCAGAUGACCCAACAGAUCUCACAGCUGCAAGGGUUAAUUCUGUCAUGAUUGCAGGUCUCUCCUAUUUCUGUUUUUCUCUAUGAACCUUACCUGCUGGCCCUUUGGAACAAGUACUGUAACGCUUGCCCACUUGUUAGUAUAAACAUUUUCUUAAAACUCAGAAAUUUAAGAAUGAAGUAGUUCUCAGAAUAUCUGCACAUGGGUUAAAGUGAAAUUUUUUAUUUACUGAAUUCCUGUUUGUGAGAUGUGUCUGGGGUCAAGAAAAGGUUAAAGUUGUUUACUGCCUUCAAGCUCUGGUCUUAGAAGUUAAUUCAGAACUGUGCUUUGAGCAGCUACAGAGAGUAGUAAGUCCUUGCAGCAGUGAAUUGCUGGUUUGAUGUCAAGGUCCAUGGGCCUUAAUCAUAAAAUUAGUUUGUUUCUUAAGGAAACCCUAGCAGGGACUUUAUGGUUAUAUAAGUCAUUAUACUUUUUUACAACACAGCUUUAAAGAUGCUUCAGAAUGAUCAGAGUUUGUAGGAAGGGAUCAUGGUUUUUAUUAUUUGUGGAGUAUCCUCAAGCUGUCAUAGCUACAGCACUGCCACUUGGAAUAGCUGCUUCACAGUUCAAAAGAAAAGACAAAGGAUUUGUUGAAGCCUAAGUCAGGCAAUUAGGGCAUAUCUGUCCAGAGAAAGCUCAUUGAAUUGAAUGGAUUCCAUGUACUUCCUGACAACUGACUCCAGUUUUGUAGGAUCUGUAUAUUUGGGGCAAUCAAGGUGUUUUAUUACAAUUCCACAAGAGCAGAUAGAGGGCCUAUGAAGCUCUACAAGCUCUGCUUUUCACAGUUCUCUGAUGGAGAAUUUAGGGGUGAUUUUGAAAAUCAUGGAAAAGGAGGAAGGCAUAUUUUCCAAAACCUUGAGAAAAGACAAAGGAAACACUAGACUACACAAAAACUUUGCUGUCCACCCUCUGCACAGCAGUGCUGGUAAGAACAAUGCUGCUAUUUCUGAAUUGCUAACACUAAGACAACAGCCUCCAAUGCAGAAGGGAGACAAGAACCAUUGUUUUAGGAGGAGGGGAGCACACUAGAGACAGGUUCACUCUCCCCAGCCUGCCAUCCCUGCGGCACAGAGGAAAGGGGGAGCUUCUGGAAUGACUGGUGGAACAAGCACCAAAGGGCCCCACUUCCCUCCUUUUCUGUAAAGCCUGUAUAACUCUUUCUGUGAAAGAAAGCAUCAAGCCCCAUCUUGUUCAUGGAAAUACAACAUAUUUGAAAGCCGUAGUUAAUGGAUAAACUGUUUUCUGAUUGGAUGAGCCACACAAUAAAUCUCUUCCCAAGCCAAGUGCAAUGCAGCUUAUUCAGUUACAGUGAAAUGAGCCACUGUCACUUUGCUGCACUUGCAUACACCAGGCAAAAUUCUUCCAUCUUCAUCAGUCUCUUAGUGAAAUAGAAAUAAAACAAUUUUAACAGAAUGGUGUCACUGGAUCUGUGGCACCUGCUUUAAAAAUAAAUCUCUUAGCUUUGUCUUCACCAUUACUUUCAAUAAAUGUCCUAGCAUUGCCACAGCAUUUAUCUAGCAGCAGGAAACCAUUAUCCUAUGACAACAAUCUAUUCCAUUAACAUUAGCUCUUAAUUGUAAGAUUGUUUAUAAGACAGGAAAAGCUACUGAAUCAUAGUAGAAUGAUAAAAAGAGUUAUGGUCAUGGAGUAUAGUAGUCCCUCCAGUUAUGAAAAAUAACCUAGGAGUAGAAAGCUAUAUUUUUAUAUGAAAAAUAAUGUAAUAUUCUUAUGCAAUUUAAUGUUUUUAAAUAAUGGAUUACAUCAGGAAGGUAGCUAUUAAAGAGUUAAUGUUAAAAACUGUUAAUAAGAAACUCUUUCUUUGAUAAUGGUAUGGCUGUAAAACUAAAUAAAAGCCUAGAAACUCUCCUUCUUCAUUUUAUCAAUGCUGCACCAAGCCAGAGAAAUCAUAAUAACAGAAGCACAUUUGUCUGGUGGAGUGAACAGAAGAAAUGUUGCAGAAUUGAGAUAUGAAGAACCUCACUGCAGAAUAGAAGGAGAACUGUCAUUCUGAUUCUUUGUCAUUAUUGUUUCAUGUCCAGUUAAGUGAACUUAAAGUGACAGUUGUGUCAUAACUGCGGGCAUCUAUGUAAAUUUCAAAUCAAAUACGAUAGAGGCAUUUCUGCCAGACAGAAGUCACCAGGCUGCUCUUCCUCUUCAUUUUUGUAACCCUCCAUUUUCUCAUGCCAUUGCUGGUAGCCCUUAAAUUAAAAAGACAACUUCAAGAGGGGAUCUCUGUGAUCCGUGUGUUUCAGUGCUCAGCCUGUACCUUGCUUUCUUUCAGCUUUUUGAAACAAUGCCCAGUGUCAAAUUUCCACCAGAAGCAGUCACCACAAACAUCUAGAUGGAUUAGCUAAACCUGUGCCUUCCCAUUAAUGAUGUAUCACACAAGAAGACCCUGUGAAGUUUUAGGUUGAGAACGUCCCCUGAAGACCUACAGAGAAAACAGCUCAAGCAAAUGUUCCUGCAUUGGUUUACUGCAGCCCAAGCCAGACGUCUUCUCUGUGAAUAGAGCAAAAUAGGCAGAAAACAUUGGUCAUGGACUUUUCUGUACAGUACAGCAUUGUUCAGAGAUCAUGGGAACUUCAUAAAGAUAUCAGACAUACUUCUCCAUUGCAAUGAGCUACAUGUAAAUAAUUAAUUUCCUGGAAACACUCAGAUAUUCUAAUUACACAGGAUUUGCUACUGGACACACAUCUUUGAAAAUAAUUUCAGUGCAAUUAUAAAGGUAUUUUGUGUGAAUAACACCAUGAAAAAAUACUAAACAUGCUAUUUAUUCACUCAGGGAAAAUAUACUAUUUAUUUUUUUCUGCAUAUUUAAAGUUACUUGGCUAAUUAAUUAGAUAAUAAAAGCUAGAGUUAAGUUUUCAUUUUUCAUUGCAACACAUUGCAUAAAUGAUACUGUUAUAAAUGUGUACCUCUGCAUUAGGUAAGCGCAUUUUGGUCAGCUGAUUGAGUCAGAUUUUUAUUUUAAUUCCUUUCCAGUUGAUCUUUUUUGUAGUGUAAAUUUAAAGUAGCAUGGUGACUACUUUUACCUGUAAUUUGGGCCUUCCAAACAGCACCAAAUUGUGCUGUCCCGCCCUUCCAUUUGUUACAGUGACUAGUGAAAAGAAGCAACAUAUUAAUGCCAGUCCUAUAAAAGUAUCUGUGAAGAAAACAGUUUUUUACCACAAAGGGUAAGUUCUAUAUGAGUUUAUAUUAGGUAUUUGUCAAAGGACUUUUUUUUCCCUGUUAAAGAUGGAGUCAUAUGAAUCAUAAAAAUAUUAAUAUUUGAGACAAAAUAUCACUACAGGUAUGUCACCACAAAAAUCAAUUGUCAGUAUAUGUUUAAGAGUAGCAAAUCAAUGUUAACUGAUUUGCCUAAAAAUGCCUAUAGACUGUGGAAUGUAAAGCCCUCCUUCAAAAUUCACAUAGCAUGUCCAGUUUUUUUAAAUGAACUUGUUAUUACAUACACAUAUUCUAGAGGCCUUUCAAGAGUUUCAAUUUUAAACAAAAAUUAUAUGUAAAUGCAAAGUCUGAUAUCUUGCCUGUAGUCACAGAACCCACUUACAGGACUUGCUGCUACUGCUGGUUUGUGGUAAUGCAUCAAUUUCGCAUGAGCUCAGGACAAAUUGGUGAACAUAAUUUCAGCCACAUGAUGUCAUUACAAAUACAGCCUUAGCUCUUUCAAAAGUGGACUUUAUUGUUAAUAUAAAUAUAUAUAUGUAAUUACUGACAUUUAUAUUAUUUGGCUCCUGUCCUAAGUUAUAGAUACAGUGAUGAUAAAAGGGUCUUGCCAGCCCUUACCUAAGAAAACUGUGUUUACUAAUUACCUCCCAUGGUUCUGGGUUCCUGUAAAUAAAGUCACGCAUGUAUUUAUAAGCAAGUUAAAAUCUAUACACAUAUUUCUAAACAUAACUUAUCUUACUCUUUUGGGCAAACAGUACUGUCUACUGCUCAGAAAAGAAUGCUAAGAGUGAAUUCAUCCAGGAUUCUUCCCAGCUUCUGCCAGGAUGUGACUCUGCCGUAUCACUGGCUAUCCAACUUAAAUACUUAAUCCAGUCACAUUUUUAAAUUGAUUGAGGCCUGAACCAGAAGAUGCUAUGUGAGUAAAAGGAUGCAUUACUUUAAAA